RNAcentral lists this ribosomal RNA (468 nucleotides) under uncultured bacterium. Its description in RNAcentral is "partial 16S ribosomal RNA". It matches the Rfam family "Bacterial small subunit ribosomal RNA", at positions 28 to 507 of the family's 1533-position model. The record is from RNAcentral.
GACGAACGCUGGCGGCGUGCUUAACACAUGCAAGUCGAACGGAAAGGCCCUGCUUUUGUGGGGUGCUCGAGUGGCGAACGGGUGAGUAGCACGUGAGUAACCUGCCCUUGACUUUGGGAUGACUUCAGGAAACUGGGGCUAAUACCGGAUAGGAGCUCCUGCUGCAUGGUGGGGGUUGGAAAGUUUCGGCGGUUGGGGAUGGACUCGCGGCUUAUCAGCUUGUUGGUGGGGUAGUGGCUUACCAAGGCUUUGACGGGUAGCCGGCCUGAGAGGGUGACCGGCCACAUUGGGACUGAGAUACGGCCCAGACUCCUACGGGAGGCAGCAGUGGGGAAUAUUGCACAAUGGGCGGAAGCCUGAUGCAGCAACGCCGCGUGCGGGAUGACGGCCUUCGGGUUGUAAACCGCUUUCGCCUGUGACGAAGCGUGAGUGACGGUAAUGGGUAAAGAAGCACCGGCUAACUACGUG